Molecule: transfer RNA, 68 nt
Filed under: Omocestus haemorrhoidalis
Lineage: Eukaryota; Metazoa; Arthropoda; Insecta; Orthoptera; Acrididae
Description: tRNA-Ile
Source: RNAcentral
AAUGGAGUGCCUGAUAAAAAGGAUUAUCUUGAUAGGAUAAAUAAAGUAAUUUAAAUUUACCUCCAUUA